This 468-nucleotide ribosomal RNA is filed under the name uncultured bacterium. RNAcentral describes it as "partial 16S ribosomal RNA". It matches the Rfam family "Bacterial small subunit ribosomal RNA", at positions 28 to 507 of the family's 1533-position model. The record is from RNAcentral.
GACGAACGCUGGCGGCGUGCUUAACACAUGCAAGUCGAACGGAAAGGCCCUGCUUUUGUGGGGUGCUCGAGUGGCGAACGGGUGAGUAACACGUGAGUAACCUGCCCUUGACUUUGGGAUAACUUUAGGAAACUGGGGCUAAUACCGGAUAGGAGCUCCUGCUGCAUGGUGGGGGUUGGAAAGUUUCGGCGGUUGGGGAUGGACUCGCGGCUUAUCAGCUUGUUGGUGGGGUAGUGGCUUACCAAGGCUUUGACGGGUAGCCGGCCUGAGAGGGUGACCGGCCAAAUUGGGACUGAGAUACGGCCCAGACUCCUACGGGAGGAAGCAGUGGGGAAUAUUGCACAAUGGGCGGAAGCCUGAUGCAGCAACGCCGCGUGCGGGAUGACGGCCUUCGGGUUGUAAACCGCUUUCGCCUGUGACGAAGCGUGAGUGACGGUAAUGGGUAAAGAAGCACCGGCUAACUACGUG